RNAcentral lists this ribosomal RNA (644 nucleotides) under Weissella minor. RNAcentral's name for it is "bacterial SSU rRNA". It matches the Rfam family "Bacterial small subunit ribosomal RNA", at positions 65 to 679 of the family's 1533-position model. The record is from RNAcentral. Lineage: Bacteria; Bacillati; Bacillota; Bacilli; Lactobacillales; Lactobacillaceae.
ACUGAUAUGAAGAGCUUGCUCGGAUUUGAAGAUGAACAUUGCAAAGAGUGGCGAACGGGUGAGUAACACGUGGGAAACCUACCUCUUAGCGGGGGAUAACACUUGGAAACAAGUGCUAAUACCGCAUAAUACUGAUAACCGCAUGGUUAUCAGUUGAAAGAUGGUUCUGCUAUCACUAAGAGAUGGUCCCGCGGUGUAUUAGCUAGUUGGUAAGGUAAUGGCUUACCAAGGCAAUGAUACAUAGCCGAGUUGAGAGACUGAUCGGCCACAAUGGGACUGAGACACGGCCCAUACUCCUACGGGAGGCAGCAGUAGGGAAUCUUCCACAAUGGACGAAAGUCUGAUGGAGCAACGCCGCGUGUGUGAUGAAGGGUUUCGGCUCGUAAAACACUGUUGUAAGAGAAGAAUGACAUUGAGAGUAACUGUUCAGUGUGUGACGGUAUCUUACCAGAAAGGAACGGCUAAAUACGUGCCAGCAGCCGCGGUAAUACGUAUGUUCCAAGCGUUAUCCGGAUUUAUUGGGCGUAAAGCGAGCGCAGACGGUUGUUUAAGUCUGAAGUGAAAGCCCACAGCUUAACUGUGGAAGUGCUUUGGAAACUGGAUAACUUGAGUGCAGUAGAGGAGAGUGGAACUCCAUGUGUAGC